This is a non-coding RNA of Kogia breviceps (pygmy sperm whale), 1536 nucleotides long. Lineage: Eukaryota; Metazoa; Chordata; Mammalia; Artiodactyla; Physeteridae. The record is from RefSeq and is a predicted model, not a curated record.
UUACUUUUGACAGAGCCUACAACUUUUUCUUCUCUGAUAAUCUUCGCUCUAGGCCAAAAGCCUGUUGUCAUUGCCUUGUUCACAUUAAACAGUAAUCAGUGAGAUUCCUUCCGCCCAUCAUUUCACUUCUCACUAGCAUGGAGCUCAGGUACCACUAGAGGCAUUCUGGUGGGCUAGUCCAGCCAGCUCUCCAGGUCAUUAGUGCCACACAUUAAGCUCUGGGGAUGGGCAGGCUUUUGUCCUCUCAAAAGUGUGCAGAGUUUUGACUCUAUGAUAUAGCUUUCAGUGUUAACAGAUAGGAAUUGGGUGACUCAAAUGAUGUGCCAGACCUUCUAUGUGUUAUCUCAAAUACUGCUUCCAACCAACCUUAGAAGCUAAGUACUAUCAUCAUCCCUGUUUUACAGAAGCGCAAAGAAGUUAAGUACUUGACCAAGUUCACACCAAGAUUUGAACCCAGGUAGUCUUACUUCAGAGCCUACGUUCUUAUCCGUGCCCAUUGCCAGCCUCGUGCUCAUUCGUUUGUGCCGGGAAACUCAUGCUUUAUCCCUAGAACUCCUCCAGUGGCAGUUUUGUACAGAUCGGAGGAAGUGGUGAACUCAGACAGCAGAGUCAGGCACAAGAAGGAGGAUAUUAUUUGGUGCCCAUUCAGUUGCUGUGCCUGUUACGGCUUAGUCUGUGGCCUGCCUGUUUACUGUCUUGAUGGUGUCUUUUGAUGAGCAGUUUAAGGGUCUUGGUGCUCCGGCUGGGUGUUAGUCCUGAGCCUCUGAGGUGGGAGAGCCAAUUUCAGGACAUUGAUCCACCAGAAACCUCCCAGCCCCAUGUUAUAUCAAACAGCGAAAGCUCUCCCAGAGAUCUACAUCUCAGUGCUAAGACCCAGCUCCACUCAAUGACCAGCAAGCUACAGUGCUGGACACCCCAUGCCAAACAACUAGAAAGACAGGAACACAACCCCAUCCAUUAGCAGGAAGGCUGCCUAAAAUCAUAAUAAGUUCACAGACACCUCAAAACACACCACCAGAUAUGGUCCUGCCCACCAGAAAGACAAGAUCCAGCCUCAUCCACCAGAACACGGGCACCAGUCCCCUCCACCAGGAACCCUACACAACCAACUAAGCCAACCUUACCCACUGGGGGCAGACACCAAAAACAAUGGGAACUACGAACCUGCAGCCUGUGAAAAGGAGACCCCAAACACAGUAAGUUAAGCUAAAUGAGAAGACAAAGGAACACACAGCAGAUGAAGGAGGAAGGUAAAAACCCACCAGACCAAACAAAUGAAGAGGAAAUAGGCAGUCUACCUGCAAAAGAAUUCAGAGUAAUGAUAGUAAAGAUGAUCCAAAAUCUUGGAAAUUGAAUGGAGAAAAUACAAGAAACGUUUAACAAGGACCUAGAAGAACUAAAGAGCAAACAAACAAUGAUGAACAACACAAUAAAUGAAAUUAAAAAUUCUCUAGAAGGAAUCAAUAGCAGAAUAACUGAGGCAGAAGAACAGAUAAGUGACCUGGCAGAUAAAAUAGUGGAAAUAACUACCGCAGA